AAGGAACAUCUCAUUGAACAUAUAAAAACGUCUUAUCAUUCGGUUCAUGACCCUAAAUGUGGUGUUUGUAACAAGCAUUGCAAAUCGUUUGAAUCACUAAGGGAGCACGUUGCUGGUCCAUUGUCCAAAGUGAAUUGUUCAAGCAUCUUUGCAGAAAGAGGCUGCAUUUUGUGUCUGAAAAUCUGCAGCAGCGUGGACUCUCUCAAUGAGCAUAAGGAAAUAUGUCAUCUAACCACUCCUCGACCCAUUGAUACAAUUGAGAUGCUUUAUUCCGAAG
RNAcentral lists this unclassified non-coding RNA (277 nucleotides) under Hevea brasiliensis (rubber tree). The record is from RNAcentral. Lineage: Eukaryota; Viridiplantae; Streptophyta; Magnoliopsida; Malpighiales; Euphorbiaceae.